This 365-nucleotide unclassified non-coding RNA is filed under the name Hevea brasiliensis (rubber tree). Lineage: Eukaryota; Viridiplantae; Streptophyta; Magnoliopsida; Malpighiales; Euphorbiaceae. The record is from RNAcentral.
GAGAGUUUUAAUUAUUCAGUUCAUGUCGUUAACUUUCGAAAACUUGAGGUGAGGGUGUGAGGCAAAUACAAAAUUUAAAAGGAAGAAGAGCAAGAUAGCCAGGGCAGUUCUAACCAAAUAAUGCUCUCUCUCACUAUUAUGAUUAUUUUAGCUUCUUCCUAUGAUGUUCUAUAAAUAUUACUUAUAUAAAGCAUCUUAGACUUAUCUUCACUGACACAAGCACCUUCACCUCGCACCUUGUGCCAAGACUUAAAAGAGACCUUGUUGCUUAAGUGCACAUGCUGCUUUAAAUUUAGCAACUAAAUGAAUUGCAGCAGUACAAUACCAUACUUAAUGAACAGGCAUUGGAAUUUACAUAAAAGCAC